AUGCAGCAUCUCCUGGUCCACUACCUGUUCGCCAGGGAUAUUUGGCAUGAGGUCAUGCCUUGGUUCCGUGCCUCCUCCAGGGGGCCUGAUCCUGGCGAGACCCUCAUCGACUGGUGGCUGGAAACCAAGCAGAGAACCUCCAAGGAACGGCGAAAAGGCCUCACUAGUACUGUACUCCUAACAUCUUGGAUGAUCUGGAAGCACAGGGAUGCCUGCACCUUCAGCAAAGCACAACCGAACGAUCGCACCCUUCUCAGUGAUAUCCUUCUUGAAGGUUGUGCCUGGGUCAGAGCCAGAGCCGCCGGGCUGGCUGCUUGCUGGCCAGAGGGUUGGGACAGUUCACUCAUUCCCGAGGGAACCUCCUUUUUGUGCCAUUUUUCCUUCUUUUUUUUCCUUGGCUCCCUUGGGUGCCAAUGUCAAUCCGGUCAUGGGCCAAUUGACUUGUUUGGCCCAUGA
This 456-nucleotide ribosomal RNA is filed under the name Triticum aestivum (bread wheat). Its description in RNAcentral is "partial small subunit ribosomal RNA". Lineage: Eukaryota; Viridiplantae; Streptophyta; Magnoliopsida; Poales; Poaceae. The record is from RNAcentral.